CAUCCAUCUGUCCUCUAUUCCUCUCGCUUCAUUUCCUUUCCUCUCUUUUUCAUCCAGUGCACCUCCUCCUUCUCCUCCUCUUGCCCUGCUAAUCACUCCUCUUUCUCGCUCUCUCUCUUUCUCUCUCUCUUUCUCCCUCUCUCUCUCCCUCUCUCUCUCCCUUGUUUCCAUUCUUGCUAAUCAACAUAUUCCACCAAGCGGGAUCCGAGCCAAGCCUUUAAGACAGAUGGAUGAUGAUGAAUGGUGAGGCAAAGCAGAUCUCUUUCUCUCUCUCUGUUUUGUUGUUUGCCCCUCUCUCUUUCUUCCUCUCUUGCCUUUCUUUCACGUAGACUUGCUUUUGUUUUCUUUGAUUCACUUUUGAAGCUAAUGAGAACGCGCCUUGGGGAGGCAGAUGAUGUGCUUUCAAAUGAUUAGGGCCAAAAGCUACUUCCUUGGCCAUCGGACAUCAAUCAAAGAGAGCCAGUUGGACGCAAACAGAGCUGAGAUUGAAAAGAUAGAAAAGAUGUUCCACUCAGAAGUCGGCUAAGAACCCUACUGCGGGAAAACCAAUGAGGGGCAGUGGCCAACUUGUUAGAGCUUCCACCCCUCGAGUCUCCUCUUCCUUCCCUAUGAUAAUGAUCUAAUGGUGCUUGUAUCUCUAUCAAAAUUCAGGGUUAAGGAGGAUAAAGAUCUGUGAGCAGAGUGACAUGAUGCUUUUGCCUUUGAAGAAACAAAGAUGAGGCCUUUUGGGGAAUCCCUCCAGGACUGUAGAUGGACUCCCCUUGGUCUCAAUUAGACUAUCUUCUGCUCUGCUGUCUGCCUCCCUCUCUGCAUGGUAUCCUGAGGUUCCUUGUAGCACCGCAGGACAGUACUGUCCUUCACCUUUUGAUCCAUGCCGGAUCAAACGCCAGCUGCUCUUUGAUGAUAGCAAAGAUGGUGGUAGUCGUAGGAUCCCAAGGCAUCAGAUCCCCCUCAGUUUAUCAUUGAGAAACCCCAACAACCUGUAGCAGCAGGCCCGCAGUUACACUGUUGACAGCUCUUAGCGGGAGGCGCUGUAAAUAAUGGCCAUCUAGCUGUGGUGAUGCAAGAUGUGGUUGUACAUUUUUCUGGCUGUAACGCCUCUAGGGGUGUUUGAGGAGCUGCUCCACUGGGGACCAAUGUGAUGGAGGCGGUGGAGCUAUGCAGUUUAUGAUUUUUAAUGAUCGAUGGAGGUUUCAGACAACCCACAAAUGCUUUCAGAGGGAAGUUCAAGCACAUGCAGCAGUUCUGGAAAGUCUCCUCUGUACUGCAGGGAAACAAAGACUUUGGUGCACAUGCACUCGCUUGUGUUUUGGUCUGUCGGAUUACAGAUGAGCGGGGAAUGAGAGAAAGAGAGUCUAAACAUAGCUGCAACAAACAGUUGUUCCCAUUAUUUAUUCAUGAAACGGUUUUCUUUUAUACACUUGUGGGGUGGCUAUAGAGUGGCAUCUGUGCAUCUCGAGACCAAGUAAAGCAUCUUAGCUCUUGACAGAUAGACGAGUUUGCAGUGAAUCAAGGUGCCCAGAGGAGGAAAUGCUGUUGCCCUUGGUGUCCCUGAAACAUUUCUCUAGUGCCUCAACCGGGUUGAUAUGUUGCAUGUGGUCAGAGGGCAAUUCAGCGACUACUAUCAGAGGCUCCUGAGAUGUUAAAUAGUUGGUCAGUUUAACCAUAAAAUUUUACCAACAUUUUCUGAACUAAAAUGCUGUCCAGACCUGAAUAUCAACCCAAAUCCAAACUGAGGGCACAGAUAGACAAAUCCAUGAAGUACAGCCAAGUAUAAGUGAACCAUCACUUUUAAAACAGUCACUGCUAAAUAAGGGGCAAAAGUUUGCAUUUUGUUUCACUGUUCAAAAAUUUCUAGGUCUCAGGAGUUGCCUGAUUUAAAAUUUGCACAGGUUCACUGCCCUCACCUUACAGGAGGGAAACAUAAAAAUAAGAAAAAAAGAGAAAAACAGCAGCUAAAUUCAUAAAAUGUGUUGAGAUUGUCAGAAAAAAUAACACAAUGUAGACAAAAUUGAUCAUGAAACAGUCAAAAGUCAAACUAUACAUUAAGUUCACUUUCAAAAGUUUGGAAAAUUUCUAAAAAAUCUGUCAAAUAUUAGACACUGCCCACAGAAAUACAAUAACUUAUAACUCAGGGCGAGAUGAAGAGGGCCUGUAUGUGAAGGCUCAAGAUAAAUUCAGCCAAAGUGGAGGUUCAGUGAUGGAUGGACUAUACUGUCUUAAGUCUUCUGACCUUGUGACCACUCAGGUCUUGCCCAAAGCCACUUCCAAAUGUGGACAGCAUGACCUGGGAUCGAAUCUCUGACCUUCCAACUGAGAAACGACAGAUAUAAUACUGUUAGCCUGUUGUUAUUUUUGUGCUAACUAUCAGCUGUAUCAUUGUUUCCAGUAUAGCUGCAUCUGUUUCUGCUGGUCUGCAACACUGAUGAGUACAGCAGCUGUUUGUUUCAGAUGCUGAGCUGAUUGUGAUCUCACUACAAACAAACACUCCAGGGCUCUGUUGAAACACUAAAUUGUACAUUUUCUGCUGACUCACUCAUUACGUAAUAGAGGUUUAUUCAUCAGUAAGUUGGAGAGUAAACUUCUGCAUUGACAUUAAUUUGUAAAUAUUUAGAGCAGACACAUUAUCAUCUGUUCGCCCACGCUGAGCACAUUAAGAUGUUGGAAUUGUGUAUAAAACUGUCUCCUUUCUGUGGGUCUUUGUGACUCUGUUAUGUUCUUUUAUUGGAGUUUGAAGCACAGUUUAUAAGGCCAAUUACCUGAUCUCAUGGGGCCUUGCAGCAGCAGUUUUAGAUUUAAGAAAAGACCCAAAACACAUACAGUAAAGGCACUGUGAGGAGUUUCCAUGUUGUAUUAUUCUGGUGAACGCUCUGGAUGAUAAAAGUAGAACAUUGCUUGGAUGGAGACUACAUUUCCCAAAAGCACCAUCAGCUGCACACUCCAAAAACACAUGUUAAAGAUUGAUUGUGAAUCCAAAAGUAACAUUAGAGCCUGUGCCUCUAAUCAAUUGAACAUUAAUACUCUCCUACCAAGCUUUUAACUGCUUCUAAUCAGUGUGGUAACUUAUGAUCCACCAGAAGUCAUGUGCUUCAGAAUGCAUAGUUUUACAACGCAGGGAAUAAAGCAGCCUAAAGCAAGACAGAAAAAAACAAAACAAAAUAAAAGCAUGAAAAACAAUCAUUUGCUCAGAUAUUGCCUUUCCAAAAGAUUGAUGAUGUAGAUAAAUCAUAAAUCUAAACAUCAUUAAAUAUGUAUGAUAAGUCAAUUUUAAGAAGUAAGGUUUUCAAGAUUUCCAAAAUUCUUAUCAUCGUUAUCGUAUAUUUGAUGUCCACAAUAACUGUGAAGUGAAAAUCAAAUGUUGUGAUAGCUUUAAUUUGAAGCAAGUUGUUUGUAUUUUGUUCUUGAAAAAGGUCACUUUGAGUAUAAAGUACAAACAUUUUCCCUUUCAAACUGUAGGAAUCUUCUUCUGGCUUAAAUCUCCCUAUACUUUCCAACCCCAGAACUAUAUUAAAUCUUCCAGCAUUACCAGAAGUGGUAUUUUAUACACCUAUAUCACCUUCAAUACUGCGCAAAACUUACCAUCAAUCAUCCAAAUUACAAUAUAUUAAAGCCUCUGACAAAUUGAGGGAGAGAUUAGAAUGAGCAGUUUGGCUGUCUAACACAACACAUGAGGAGAUUUAUGACUAUUAUCAUCAUCUAUUCAGACCUUUUCAUCACCUCAGGUGCUUACCUUCCUGCGCCCUGACUAAUACAGCUCUAGACGGUGGUAUAAAACGAUUACGGCUGAUACGGACAUUUACGGUGCCCACACUCAGACACAGAAGAGACACAGAUACCUGAAGGUCAAGUAGAAGGGAAGGGAGGGGGCUGUCAAUUCCAAAGGACCUUUUGUCAAGUCCUUAUUGAAAUUCAUCAAUAAAAAUGGGCCGCCCUAAGCCUUUUCAGAAAUAAAAUUGUCAUGCUAAUUCAUUUUGAUUGCCACAUUGGACUGGCUAAACAAAAUGAAUGGCGGGGGCCAGAUGCGCCUACCAGAGCGUAACUCUGGAUAUUUCAUAGUGAAUUACCCUGAUCGACUCGCCCCGUGGAUCCUGGUGCAAAUUCCGAUCAAAUGCCCAUAAGUGUGGAAUUCCAAUCACCGCUUUGCUAACUCAUUGAUUUGCAUGCUGAAGAUGCACACAUUAAAAACCUGGAUGAAAAGCUGCACUGCUGACUGGGACCUUUUUUUCCUAAAUCCAUGAAUGAAGAGGAUUUAAAUUUUCAGACCAAGCAUGUUUCUCCUGAUAGUUAAUGAAAAUAACAGUCAGCCAUUUGUGAACCAAGCGAUAAAUAUUCCUCCUUCCUUAUCUUCUGCAGAGCCUUGCGGAGAGUAAAUGUUUCAUUAUGUUUUAUUAGAGUUGACAUUUGUGCUCAAAGAUUAUUCUACAUAUCAACACACCGAAAGUUAGUUGAUUGCUACUCUUUUUGUGUCGCCGAAAAACAGCAAGCGGCUCAAGUUUAAAGAGAACAGAAAGUAGAGGAGGCUCCUGCAGAUGAAACAGCACAGCAGACAGCAGCAUGGAGGAAGAGCGAGUGAAUAACGAGUCCUCUGUGUUGCAUGAGAGACAGGACUCUUGUGGACGAAGAGGGAGGAUACUUUCCAAUGAGCCAUCUGGACAUGUCCCCCCCUGGGGACACGGAGCAAAACAUGCUUGAUCUGUCUGCCUCCCUACCUCCUCUGCUCUCCCUCUCUCCCUUUACUACUCCUCUUCUGCUCAUCUAUCUAUCUAUCUAUCUAUCUAUCUAUCUAUCUAUCUAUCUAUCUGUCUGUCUGUCUGUCUGUCCGUCUGUCUAUCUAUAUAUCUAUCAUUAUAAAAUUAAAAUUUCAGAUUAUAAGAGAACAUUAUUUUGUUGAUUCUACAUCACAAAAAAUGGAUGCUGCCGCAGUUUUACAGUCCGAGAGAAGAUAAAAAUUUGUUAGUGAAUCACACAAUUACAAAAUCUUAACGCUAACACAGGGGUUACAGUAAACACAGUCACCAUGUAUCAGUCUAUCUUAUGAGAGCGGUUGCUGGCACUUCCAUGUCCGUGCUUGGCAGAGGAAAUGUCUUGUUUAUGCACGCCUCCUCUCUAAGUUUACACUCUCUGGACAUCGUGUGUAACAGAGCACCGAAGUGCAACUCUAGCUUUGACGCCCUCGCUCAUCACUGUGUGCUAUAUGAGCAAGUUGGUCAUUCUUCCUUGUGUUAUUAUAGGUCUGGAGCUGCCAUCACUCUCAACAUUUUCCAGCUGGUGGCGUAUGUGCCUUACCCGAUCAUAGUCGUUUACCAAAGAUGACGACACAGGAGCUUCCUUGUCAGAAACCAAGAUGGCCUCUUCCACUGUUGGAGGGUCUAUGGCAGCAUUUUCAACAAAAAAGAAACAAUACCAAACAACUGCACAUACAACGUUCACUGUUCACCUUUGUUAUUCAAUAUUGUUUUAAAGCCACUGUAAGGACCCUAAAGAUGGUGUACAUUUUUGUCUAUUAUUCUAACAGGGAAUUAUUCUAGCAUACUUUGUUUUUGUUUGAACACAGACCUAAUUAAAAAGAAAGUCUGCCAGGAUCUGGGACCAGGAAAACUCAUGAAAAUAUUUGUGUCUGUUGAUUUUGUUUAUUUGGGUUGCAUUUUGAAGCUUUGUCCUUCUUCUUCCUCCAGUUUUAUAAUCUCAGAGUUUCUACAUUUUCAUCUAUUGUCAUUUUCAUAUAAAUAAUGCAGA
This 5736-nucleotide long non-coding RNA is filed under the name Xyrichtys novacula (pearly razorfish). Lineage: Eukaryota; Metazoa; Chordata; Actinopteri; Labriformes; Labridae. The record is from RNAcentral.